This 623-nucleotide ribosomal RNA is filed under the name Boreonectes funereus. Its description in RNAcentral is "partial 16S ribosomal RNA". The stretch from base 384 to 531 matches the Rfam family "Bacterial large subunit ribosomal RNA", at positions 2473 to 2632 of the family's 2925-position model. The record is from RNAcentral. Lineage: Eukaryota; Metazoa; Arthropoda; Insecta; Coleoptera; Dytiscidae.
GUCCUUUAGAAAAAGAAUUUAAGGUCUAACCUGCCCACUGAGAUUUUUAAAUGGCCGCAGUAUUUUGACUGUGCAAAGGUAGCAUAAUCAUUAGUUUUUUAAUUAAAAGCUUGUAUGAAUGGUUGGACGAGAUAAAAUCUGUCUCUAUAUAAUAAUUAGAAUUUAAUUUUUAAGUUAAAAAGCUUAAAUAAUAAUAAAAGACGAGAAGACCCUAUAGAUCUUUAUAUUAAAUUUUAUAAUUUUAUUGAAGAUUAAUUUAUUUAUUAUAAUUUUUACUAUUUUAUUGGGGUAAUAGGAAGAUUUAAGAAAUUCUUUUUAAUUUUAAACAAAAAUUAUUGAAUAAUUGAUCCUUAUUAUUGAUUAUAAGAUUAAGUUACCUUAGGGAUAACAGCGUAAUUUUUUUAAAGAGUUCUUAUCGAUAAAAAAGUUUGCGACCUCGAUGUUGGAUUAAAAAUUAUUUUGGGUGUAGAAGUUCAAAUUUUUGGUCUGUUCGACCAUUAAAUUUUUACAUGAUCUGAGUUCAGACCGGNNNNNNNNNNNNNNNNNNNNNNNUUUAUUUANUUAAUAUAUUUUAGUACGAAAGGACCAAAUAUAAAGUAUAAUGAUAUUUAUUUUUUGAUUAA